UACCACUUGGAAACAGGUGCUAAUACCGGAUAAGAAAGCGGAUCGCACGAUCAGCUUUAAAAGGCGGCGUAAGCUGUCGCUAUGGGAUGGCCCCGCGGUGCAUUAGCUAGUUGGUAAGGUAAAGGCUUACCAAGGCGAUGAUGCAUAGCCGAGUUGAGAGACUGAUCGGCCACAUUGGGACUGAGACACGGCCCAAACUCCUACGGGAGGCAGCAGGC
RNAcentral lists this ribosomal RNA (218 nucleotides) under uncultured Lactobacillus sp. Its description in RNAcentral is "partial 16S ribosomal RNA". It matches the Rfam family "Bacterial small subunit ribosomal RNA", at positions 144 to 354 of the family's 1533-position model. Lineage: Bacteria; Bacillati; Bacillota; Bacilli; Lactobacillales; Lactobacillaceae. The record is from RNAcentral.